GAUGAACGCUGGCGGCGUGCCUAAUACAUGCAAGUCGAGCGAACAGACGAGGAGCUUGCUCCUCUGACGUUAGCGGCGGACGGGUGAGUAACACGUGGAUAACCUACCUAUAAGACUGGGAUAACUUCGGGAAACCGGAGCUAAUACCGGAUAAUAUAUUGAACCGCAUGGUUCAAUAGUGAAAGACGGUUUUGCUGUCUCUUAUAGAUGGAUCCGCGCCGCAUUAGCUAGUUGUUAAGGUAACGGCUUACCAAGGCAACGAUGCGUAGCCGACCUGAGAGGGUGAUAGGCCACACGGGAACGGAGACAGGGUCAAGACUCCUAAGGGAGGCAGCAGAAGGGAAUCUGCCGCAAUGGGCGAGAGCAUGACGGAGCAACGCCGCGUGAGUGAUGAAGGUCUUCGGAUCGGAAAAAUCUGUUAUUAGGGGAGAACAAAUGUGUAAGUAAAUAUGCACGUCUUGACGGUACCGAAUCAGAAAGCCACGGCUAACUACGUG
Molecule: ribosomal RNA, 497 nt
Filed under: uncultured bacterium
Lineage: Bacteria
Description: partial 16S ribosomal RNA
Rfam family: Bacterial small subunit ribosomal RNA
Source: RNAcentral